CCCUUAGAUGUCCUGGGCCGCACGCGUGCUACACUGACACUUACACCGAGUUUUUCCAAUGCCGAAAGGCCAUUGGUAAUCAGCAAUAAGUGUCGUGAUGGGGAUAGAUCUUUGGAAUUAUUGAUCUUGAACGAGGAAUGCCUAGUAAUCGUAGGUCAUCAGCCUGCGAUGAUUACGUCCCUGCCCUUUGUACACACCGCCCGUCGCUCCUACCGAUUGAAUGGUCCGGUGAAAAUUUCGGAUACCGGCGUUGCUGGCGGUUCGCCGCCGGCGACGCUGGUAGAAGAUCUUUAAACCUUAUCAUUUAGAGGAAGGAGAAGUCGUAACA
This 328-nucleotide ribosomal RNA is filed under the name uncultured eukaryote. RNAcentral describes it as "partial 18S ribosomal RNA". It matches the Rfam family "Eukaryotic small subunit ribosomal RNA", at positions 1470 to 1796 of the family's 1831-position model. The record is from RNAcentral.